RNAcentral lists this long non-coding RNA (3782 nucleotides) under Homo sapiens (human). RNAcentral's name for it is "HSALNT0311143". The record is from RNAcentral. Lineage: Eukaryota; Metazoa; Chordata; Mammalia; Primates; Hominidae.
UUUGUUAUUAUCUUAACACUCUCUAUUGCUAUCUGCUUCAAUAUAGGAAAAAUGCAGUUACAAAUGUUUCCUGGUUAUAGUUAUUAAGAAUUAUCCCUAAUCUUAGGCUAGAUAUAUACAGAAGAUAAUCGUGUUCUAGAGUGUUCCUGCUGAAUAAAGUUGCCACUUAAUAAGAAACAGAUAUCAUGACUAGGUUGCCCUUGGAACUAACUGUCCAAGCGUGAACAAAUAUAUAUACUACAUCACACAUACACUCACAGUGCACAACACACUUAUACACUUCUCACAUACUCGCCUUUCUUUUACAACUUUCUGGCUCAGCAUGCCCAUGUCAUGAGCUAAUUCUGACCUAACAGAGAGGCUGUGCAGUCUUUCAGCUAGUGGAGGCUGAGAAAAUUGUGCAGCAAUAGGUCCAGUCCCUGGAAGAUGAAGUUAGUUAGCAUUUGGUGCCCAGCCAGCAGCAAUGUGACUUAGGCUUUUCGUCCUAGUAGGAAUUUGACUCAUUGGGCCUGCAAAAGAUUUUCGUGACAAAUGAAAUAUUUUUCUAAACCAAGGACUUGGGGAUAACUUCAGGGUCAAAGACAUCUUAUCAUAUUUAAGAACAGCCACAGGAUGUCUAGGAGCCAGCAGAGGGGCCAGAUAUGCUGCAGUUUAUGCUGUAAAAGGAAGCCUGCCGCCGUGAGUGGUCCAGUGGGAGCUCUUGCUUUGUGUCCUCAGCCUUUCACCUUUCCAUCUGAUGACUUGCUCUGAAUCUUCACUUCCUGGGCAGAGCUCUGAGUAUAGAUGAGGCAAACUUCACAUGGAAAAGAAGCCAUAUUUUGAAAAAACUACACGGAAUCAAAGAGAACUAACUCAAAGAAGCAAAAUUUUGGAGAUAAAACAAGGUAUCUGAUAGCAGUAGUGAUCUCAGGGUGGAUGACCCCCUACUGUUGCUCCUUCUUUUAAAUAAAACUCUUACUUGCAGGAGACAUACUGAAUGUAUUUGACCUUGGUGGCAGCUGGAAUUCAAAAAUCCUGGGUUGUGUUAGUUGACUAAGACAACAUUGUAGUACUGGUAGAGAAUUCUAAAAUCAGAAGAGCUUCAAUCUCUUCUAAUCUAAUUGACUAUGGAGAUUCAGGCAAGUUAUUCUGCCUCUGAGCCAGAUUUAAUUUCCUUAUCUAUAAUGUAAGGAGAAAAUCAAUAACUUUAAUAUUCUCUGAUUCAAAAUGUAAGCAAACAGAGGAAGGUGAUUGGCAACUUAGUUAAUUGGCAGGGUUAUUGGUAAAGAGUGAACACUGGGCAUUAUCCUUAAAGGUUAUGACAUUUGGAUAACCAUCUUGCAUCUUGGUCCAGUAGGCCAGCUACAGUAAUUGCUGUGGGUUAUGCUGAGUCUAGGACUGGAUUCCAAUUAAGCUGUGAUUUUUCACCAGUGCUAACUGUGGAAGGGCAGAUCCAUACAGAGCAUUCCUCAGCUAGGUAGUUUGAAUUAUUCCUAGACAGAUGCCUCCCAUUGAAGAGCACCUGGCAUUUUUACUAAGAGGAGAUCUAGCCAUUCUAGCAACUCUGAUUCACUCUCCUUUUGUUCAUCAUCUAUAUUUCUCCAUGGCUAUCCUUCCAAAGAGAAGCUAUUGCUAUAGUACACCUAACCAGAACAACUUUACCUCAAGGACACAGCUUUAUUAUCUGCUGAGGACCCUGAUCUAAUACUGUCAGGGUAGAGCCUGGUGUUCUGGGGAAAAUUUCAGGUUAUUAAAGCCAGUCCUAAUGGUUGGCUUAGAUAUGGCCUCUGUCUUGAUUUCCCUGCAUAGAACUUCUAUCUUUUAUUAAUUUGGUGCCAGUUGUAUAUUUUAAAGGGAGAGCUGUGGGUCUUGAUUUAAACCUGUAUAUACAUACAAGUACCUUGUUUUGUUAAACUACAUUGUCUUGCUCUUGUCAGUUUUAUCCUUAGAGGUCUGGACGUGCCCCAUCUCUGUACUUGAUUCUGCUGAGAAUACAGAGGUUGACAGUACCAUCAUGGCACACUACUCUGUGUGCACUGACCUAGGGCCUGGCACGCCUCAUAUAGAUACCUCCUAUCCCCUUUGUGCCUGCAUUUGUCUCAACCACAGGCCACAGUAGCUAACAUUCUCAGCUUUUGACCCACUAAUUUUUGGCUUUUGCCCAUCCCCAUUGACUCCCAUGUAGACCCUAUGUUCACCAGAAGGAUCCUCAUGUCUGCAGACUACAUUAAGAGGGAGGAUAUGCCUCUGUGAAUCCAACUGAUAGGUAUCUCCUGUGUGCCAGGGAAUGGCAGGGCCAUGGCUCUCUCAAAGCCAUGCUCAUAAAAAGCCUCCUCUGCAUCGACUUCCAGUCCCAUUUGAUUCUCAAGCAAGGAGUUCCAUCCGAGAAGGAAGCUGUCACCUGUCACUCUUUUAUGAAUUCUUAAGGACAGUGGAAGAGUUGAAAGGUUGGCAAUCACAAUGACAAUAGGCUAUUACAAGCAGGUGAAGAGCCUUCUUCUUUUGCUCCUUACCCCCAACUGCUGUUCAAAUAAUCAAAAAAGGGUCCUCAUUGAAACUGAUUUAAUUCUCAAGAGGAAUGAAAGACAUUUAAAGGGCAAGCCAACUUCAUAAAUGACAUUAAAAGGUUUUAAAAUAGUGUUUUGCUUCUAAAGGGUGUUUGUAAAUGUCAGAGGUAACAUAUUGAUUACAGUCCUGGCAGUUCUUGCUCAGGGCUUCUUAGCUGUCUUUGGCUUAACUCAUGCUGUUGACUUAUGCUCAUGGUAUGAAAUAUCUCAGCCAUCUUACUUUGUUUGCUUAAACUUUUCCAACCUACCAGACUUUAUCCACAUGUGAAUAAAAGGUACCAUCAAAUUAGUGGUGUUUAUAAUUUUUGUGCUUUUUAAUGUCUCGUGAAUUAUAUAAAGUUACGAAAAUGGCUAUAGGAAUUGGCCUACAAACUCUUGAGAUGUCCUAUAAGUUCCUACAAGAUAUUGAAAGUUGGUUGCUUUGAGGAUAUAAUUCUGAAUGUUGAAGCAAAUUAAAAAGCCAACUUGGAAGGGGAUACAUAAUCCUCUUUAAGUCAAGAUGAGGGGUAUAACCUCCCCCAUAUAUUCUGGGCCCAGUCGUCUGUGUUGAAAAGAACUCUGAUAGUUUAUUUGCUGAUACUAUUAAUGGGAGCCAAAAACAUUGUGGAGAAAGGUGAUAUUGUCAUCGUGAAUCUCUCUGAACUCCUGUUCCCAAUUUGUAGCCAGUAAGAGAGCAUGAUUGCUCUGACUACAGGAUUAUACUAAGUCUCUAAGGAAAUGAGAAUAGUGCACAUGUGUACUCUGAUUUAUAGUUUGCAAAGGCCAUUCAAUAAUUGGUAAAGCCGAAACCAAUGAAUUUCCUUCUGAUUUUCAGCACCAUUCAGAAUCUGGACAUAUAAUAUGUUUAUGGCAUUUAACCUAGUCAGACAGUAGAUAUUGCUCUAAGUCAUGGCCUACACCUGUGAGCCUACUUAUAUCAGCAUUUGCCAAAUGUACUUGUAGCUGUGGUACUGACCUCAGAGAACUUAGCCAAAGAGCAAAGACUGCCUAAUUCAAGAAGUACUGGCUGUACAGGAAGCAUAAUGCCAGCAUCUGUUUCUGGUGAGGCCUCAGGAAGCUUUUACUUAUGGUGGAAGGUGAAGGAGGAACAGGUGUCUCACAGGGCAAGAGGAGCAAGAGGGAGCAGGUGGGGAUUGGUGCCACACACUUGUAAACAUCCACAUUUUGUGAGAACUCACUAUCUCAAAAACAGCACCAAGCCAUGAGGAAUCCCUUCCUAUGACCCAAACACCUCCC